This 250-nucleotide ribosomal RNA is filed under the name uncultured bacterium. RNAcentral's name for it is "partial 16S ribosomal RNA". It matches the Rfam family "Bacterial small subunit ribosomal RNA", at positions 524 to 773 of the family's 1533-position model. The record is from RNAcentral.
UACGGAGGGUGCAAGCGUUAUCCGGAUUCACUGGGUUUAAAGGGUGCGUAGGAGGGUAGGUAAGUCAGUGGUGAAAUCUCCGGGCUCAACUCGGAAACUGCCGUUGAUACUAUCUGUCUUGAAUACCGUGGAGGUGAGCGGAAUAUGUCAUGUAGCGGUGAAAUGCUUAGGUAUGACAUAGAACACCGAUCGCGAAGGCAGCUCACUACACGAAUAUUGACUCUGAGGCACGAAAGCGUGGGGAUCAAAC